RNAcentral lists this ribosomal RNA (254 nucleotides) under uncultured bacterium. RNAcentral describes it as "partial 16S ribosomal RNA". It matches the Rfam family "Bacterial small subunit ribosomal RNA", at positions 524 to 776 of the family's 1533-position model. The record is from RNAcentral.
UACGUAGGGUGCGAGCGUUACUCGGAAUUACUGGGCGUAAAGCGUGCGCAGGCGGUCUGUUAAGACCGAUGUGAAAUCCCCGGGCUUAACCUGGGAACUGCAUUGGUGACUGGCAGGCUUUGAGUGUGGCAGAGGGAGGUAGAAUUCCACGUGUAGCAGUGAAAUGCGUAGAGAUGUGGAGGAAUACCGAUGGCGAAGGCAGCCCCCUGGGCCAAUACUGACGCUCAUGCGCGAAAGCGUGGGGAGCAAACAGG